RNAcentral lists this ribosomal RNA (433 nucleotides) under uncultured bacterium. RNAcentral describes it as "partial 16S ribosomal RNA". It matches the Rfam family "Bacterial small subunit ribosomal RNA", at positions 29 to 507 of the family's 1533-position model. The record is from RNAcentral.
AACGAACGCUGGCGGCAUGCCUAACACAUGCAAGUCGAACGAGACCUUCGGGUCUAGUGGCGCACGGGCGCGUAACGCGUGGGAACCUGCCUUUAGGUUCGGAAUAACUCCGAGAAAUUUGAGCUAAUACCGGAUGAUGUCUUCGGACCAAAGAUUUAUCGCCUUUAGAUGGGCCCGCGUUGGAUUAGCUAGUUGGUGGGGUAAAGGCCUACCAAGGCGACGAUCCAUAGCUGGUCUGAGAGGAUGAUCAGCCACACUGGGACUGAGACACGGCCCAGACUCCUACGGGAGGCAGCAGUGGGGAAUAUUGGACAAUGGGCGAAAGCCUGAUCCAGCAAUGCCGCGUGAGUGAUGAAGGCCUUAGGGUUGUAAAGCUCUUUUACCCGAGAUGAUAAUGACAGUACCGGGAGAAUAAGCUCCGGCUAACUCCGUG